Molecule: long non-coding RNA, 7646 nt
Filed under: Jatropha curcas
Lineage: Eukaryota; Viridiplantae; Streptophyta; Magnoliopsida; Malpighiales; Euphorbiaceae
Description: long non-coding RNA (JCUR_LNC001237)
Source: RNAcentral
UGUUUUACAGCUGCAACAGAGACAAAAUCUAUAUAUACGCCAUGUAACUAUGGUAGAAACAUUCUCAAUAGAGACGCCUACAGAGAGUAACACCGUCGCCAAUAGAAACUUGCGAGAUCUCUACACGUUGAUCCCGACACAGGUACUCAUUGAGUUCCUGUAUAGCCUUUGUCCGGUGCCUGAAAGGCUCUGGAACUUCAUUUGCUUCUUGAGCUACAAAUCCAUAACACAAGGUGUUAUCGUAAGCAAUUAUUCCUCCAACCUUAGCUAAUUUCAACAAUGGCUCAUGGUAAUUUUUGUAAUUGUGCUUAUCAGCAUCUACAAAUGCAAUGUCAAAUUCUUCUCUCUCCUUUUCCUGUUGUGUAAAAAAAAAAAAGAAAGAACAAAAUAAAUAAAAUCCUAAUAUAUAUACAAUUAGGCUAAAAUUUUCUGGAAGUAUGCUUACAUUACUUAACAUUUCGGUUAAUACUGAAAUAGCAUCAGACUGAAUGAAAUUUAUUUUGUGCUCGACGCCUGCCUUGCGGAUGAAUGGUACUCCAACUUCAUAAGCUUCUUUAUCAAUGUCUAUAGCUGUUAUCUGUUCACAAAUUUUCUCAGCAGAUCAAGGUUUUUUCACUAAAAGUAGAAAAAGAAAAGAUAAAAGGAAGAAGAGUAUAUAAAUUACCCGGCCAUCAUGAGGCAAGGCAAGUGCAGUUGAAAGAAGAGAAUAGCCAGUAAAAACACCGAUCUCUAUCGUCCUUUUGGCGUUCAUAAUCUUCACAAGCAUUGAUAGGAAUUGCCCUUCAUCAGCUGGUAUUGAAAUUUUGCUCCUGCAAUUCAUAUUUUCAAAAAAAUUAGAAAGUUUUCUAAUAUUUAUGGAAUAUAUGGAAAUUAAUUACUUACCUCUUUCCAUAUUUGUUCUCAGUAGCUUUUCGUAAAUUCUUGAGUUCCUCGUGCUCUCUUGGAUAUGCACUUGUUUCAUAGAUAUACUGUAACAAAAUUUCUAAAUUUUUAAUACAUUAAAAGGACAUAAUUCGAGUUCUUAAUACAUUUUUUCUCUGUGGUCAAUAUUAAUAAUCAAUUCCUUCGUUGAGAUAAAAAAGAAGAAAAAGAAAAAACAGAAAUUGCAGUGUUGAGAUAUAUAUUAAAUACAAAUAACCUUCUGUAGAGCUUGGCUCUGGAGGAUUCCUUUCGGAGGUAAAGCAUUCGCCAUGCCUGACUUGCUUCUUCUUCUCACUUUAACAAAAGUGCAGCAAUAUAUAUUUGAAUGUUCAUAAUGAUUUUUUGUGUGAUGUGAAACAUAUGUUGGUUGCUCGUGAGAUAUUUAUUGACAGUUGAGUUAUACCAAGCAGCUUUACGCCAAACGCCAAAAUUAGUGAGUUAUACAAACAGAGCCUCAUGGGGACAUGGGUUUGACGGAGUGGGUUCUCCAAAUGUCAAUUCAGCCUUUUUCCAACUACCAAACAAGCAUUGCCAGCGGCCGCAGAGCUAAAAAUAUCUACCGGUCAGAUCAUUUUAUUUAAUUUGAUUUUUUAGUGGUUAAUUAGAUUAAAAAUUUUAAAAGUUUUUCACUUAAUAUAUAUAUAUAUAUAUAUAAAAUUUUUUUUAUCAAUUUAAUCACGUUUUAUAAAUAUUUUUUAAAAAAUUGAGUGAGAUCAACUAACCCUACUUCACAUAGCGGGGUGCUGUCCUGAUGGGGAGGUGUUGGCUGGCUUCUCAUCAUUUGUUAGGCUGCAUUCGACAAAAACUUUUUAAAACUCCAUUCGGUAAUAACAUUUGAGGGAGAGUUUAGAAUUUUGAAUGUGUCAAAACACUAUUUUUAUAAAUUAUAUCAUUCAGUUGUUAGUGAAUAAUAUAUCUUUAUUGAAAUAUUAAUACAUGUAAGAGUUUCCAUUUUUUUAUUAAAUUUUUUUGACAAUUAUGUCCUUAAUUAACUCAUAUUAUCCUUAUCCUUAAUUAACUUAUAUUAUCCUUAUAUUAACAUUAGUUUAAAGUGUUUUGCUAUAUAACACUACAAAUCUGCAAUUAAGUUAAAAAAUUACAUUAUUUUACACAAAAAUUUAAACAAAAUAAUUUAAUAAUGAAUUAACAGAGAAAUACGUGAGGGAAUUGUAUUAUCAUUUUAAAGUGAUAAUGAUUUCAAUUUAUCUAAUUGGACUAUACAUAAAUUGACAUUUUUUUUUUAUAAUGAGUCAACUACUGUAUUCAUAAGUUAAAAUUCAAACUUAAUAUUUAAAUGUCUCUUUUUAUCAUUUUAAAUUCAAUAUCUAAUUAAAUAACUAUUUUUACCGAAUACUUUUACUCUAAACAGUUAUAUAAACAACUAAUAUCCAACAGCUAACAGUUUUUAAAACAGUUAACAGCUCGUAAGACCGCUAACAACUAUUAAAGUAUUGUCGAACAAGCUCUAAGUAGCUUAUUAAAAUAUUAAACCCUAUUUUUUAUAGUUUUUGGUAACAUACGUUUAAAUUAGCUUUUAAAGAUUAAAACAACGUUUUAUACAAAAAUUAACUCAUAUAAUAUGUUAUGAAAAGUUGCUCAAACAGUUAAUAUGUAAACACUACUAAAAUGGCUAAAGAGCUAUCAAAACAACUAAACAGUUACCAAAACAAUUAAUUAACUCAUAAAUUUUUAGAAUUUAUUUUUUUUAUUUAUAUUGUUUAUGAUUUAUUUAAUUAACUCAUAGAUUCACGUUGAAACUGUAUUCAAUCUAACGCUUACGUAUUCAACCAAAGCAAAUAUUCGACCCAAAUGCAACCCUCUAAUGAUUUUAUUUUAUGGAUGAUAGUAAUAAAACACCAGUAUCUAUCAUUCUCAAUAGAGACGCCUGCAUAGAGUAACACCAUCACCAAUAGAAACUUGUGAGAUCUCUACACGUUGAUCCUGAGACAGGUAGUCGUUCACUUCUAGUAUAGCGUUUCUUGCGUCCCUGAAAGGCUCUGGAACUGUAUUUUCUUCUUCAACUACAAGUCCGAACAAUAAGGUGUUAUCAUAAGCAAUUAUUCCUCCAACCUUAACUAAUUUCAACAAUUGCUCAUGGUAAUUUUUGUAAUUUUCUUUGUCAGCAUCUACAAAUGCAAUGUCAUAUUCUUCUUUCUCGUUCUGCUGUUGUAUUCAAAAAAAAAAAAAAAAAAAAAAAAAAAAAACAUCAAAUCAAAUAAAACCUAAUAUAAAUAUAUAUAGUUAAGCUGAAAUUUUAAUACUUAUGUUAUUUACCAUUUUGGUUAAUGCUGAAAUAGCAUUAGAUUGAAUGAAUUUGAUUUUGUGCUCGACGCCUGCCUUGCGAAUGAAUGGUAAUCCAAAUUCAUAAGCUUCUUGAUUAAUGUCUAUUGCUGUUAUCUGUUCACAAAAUUUCUCAGCAGACCAAGAUUACUUUUUCAUUAGAGAGAGAGAGAGAGAGAGAGAGAGAGAGAGAGCAUGCUUAAAUUCUUGAAUUCUUUAGAAAAAAAAAGUUGCAUCCCGAAAAAUACUUACCGGAGAGGCAGCUACCAACCCUAAAACAAAAUUAUUCUCGUUCUAAAAAAUAAUGCGGAGAAAUUGAAGGGGUCGAAAGAGUAUAUAUUAUAAUUACCUGGCCAUCAUGAGGCAAGGCAAGGGCAGUGGAAAGAAGAGAAUAACCAGAAAAAACACCAAUCUCUAGUGUCCUUUUAGCGUUCAUUAUCUUCACAAGCAUUGAUAAGAAUUGACCUUCAUCAGCUGGUACUGCCAUCAUGCUCCUGCAAUUCAAAUUUCAAACAUUUAUAAAAUUUUCUAAUAUUUAUUGUGUAUAUAUACAUAUUAAUUACUCACAGGUUUCCAUAUUUGUUUUCUGUAGCUUCUCGCAAAUUCUUGAGUUGCUCAUGCUCUCUGGGAUAUACACUAGUUUCAUAGAUAUACUGUAACAAAAAUUUUUAAAUUUUGAAUACAUUAUACAGAUAGAUAUAACACAAUCUUCUCCAAAAAACAAUAUUUAAAAAACCUUCAUUAGAGCUUCACUCUGUAGGAUUUCUUUAGGAGGUAAAAUGGGCACCAUGCUAACUACUACAGUAGUACUACUACUUUUUAACUUCAACAAAAAUGCAGUAAUAUAUUGGAAAGCUCCUACAAAUUUAUGGGUGUGAAAGCAUAUUUUCGAUUGAUGGGGACAAGACUUGCUUAAAAGGUAGGUUAGUUUAAACCUCAAAAAUCAUUUUUCUUUAAAAGAGUUGAGUUUCAAAAGAAUUAAACAUUCUAUUAAUAAUAUUUUCAAAAAAAAAAUUCUAAUAAUAAUAAUAAUAUAUGAAAAGAGUAUAUCUUCAUUUUUUUAAUAAUUAAUACAUUUAAAUCACAUUAAUAUAAAAAUAAUUGAAUAAUUUAUUUUUUAAAAUUUUAAAGAUUUUUUUUAAGUAUUGGAGAAGAGAUUCAAACCUGGAUCUAUUGUCAGAUCGUAAAUAUAUUUAUCACUAAACUACGUCUUAAUGUGCAAAAAAAAAUUUUUGUUUUGUAAGAACCUAGAAUAGUUAAUCACCUCUGACGUUACACGUAAAGCUUUUGAGCUCUCUUGCAAGUAACAAUAAAAUAAAGGUAUCAUGAAACUUCCUCGUAAAAAAUCUCAAUAAAAAAAUUAACGUACUAAUUAAAUAUUAUAUCUAUAAAAUUAUUUUAUUGAGAAUUUGAUAAUUAUAAAAGUAGAUUGCUUUAACACUAAAUGAAAAUUUAAAAAAAUAUAAAAAUUAUUAUUUCAAAAUUAUAUUAACCACGCAUCAAAUUAAUAUUCUAUUUGAAAAGACCGUUGUUAAUUGAAAAGUUGUAUAAUAUUAUAAAAUCCCUAAUUUUAUAAGCAUAAUAAUUUCCCUUGAAAUUUUAGGUGCCAUAAAUUUUUUUUCAAACAAUAGAGGGAGAAAUUUAUAUUACAUGUUGUCAAAAUUCAAAGGCAAUGAUGUAUGUAUAUGGUUAAUCAUCACUUUAUCAUAAAAUGGAGAAUAAAAGAAUCAUAUAUAUAACAUAUUACACAGUAAUACUUUUAUUAAAAAAUUAAAAAAAUAGUAAAAUAAAAAUAAAAAUGAGGAGAACAACAUAUUAUUUUUAAGUAAAAGUAUCAUCCCAUUAUUCUGCAACAAGUAACAUUUAAAAUUUUGACCAGAAUUAAAAUAUUAUUUUUAUUAAUUAUAAUAUUCAGUAAUAUAAUAUUUAUAAUAAUAAAUUAGACGUAUAUAGCAAUUAAUUGAACUUUUUUAAAUUAUUUUAUAUUUAAUAGUUAAUUAAAUAAUUAUUUUUAUUAAAUAUUCUUAUUUUAAACUAUUUUGUAUAAAUAAUUAACUACAAAUAACUAAUAUUUAAUAUAAUUAACAGCUAAAAAAACAAUUAAGUGAUAACUAAUUGAAUAGCCAACAACAAUAACUAAUAUCAAUUAACACGUCAUGGUUUUAUACGGUAAUUAUGGAAAAGUAAAGUUUAUUACUUUUCAUAAUACUAAUUAUUUAUAAUAAGUAAGGUGGUCUGUCUCUAUCGCUACAAGAAAAAAAGAUAAGGCUCCAUCAACAAAAUAACAAAAGAACGUCAAAUGAGAGGAAAGAAAAAUGCCAAACGAAAGGUUGUUGGAAAGCUACUCUUUUAUUGAUUUUUUUUAUAUUUCAUCAGAAGUUUUUAGAUUACAAUAACGAAGUUAUUGGUCUAACUAUGAAUGAUUAAUGCACGAAAAUAUCAAUUUCGUUAACGAUAGGUGGUUGGAUAAGAAAAGGUGGAUAACAUGUCUGUAAGCUUCGUCUAUGACAUUAAGGCCUUGUUGACAAUAAUUUUUUAAUUAGCUUUCAAUAUUUUUAUCGGUUAAAACGCUAAAAAUAGUGUUCAAUAACAUAAUAUUUAAAUUAAUUUUUAGAAGUUAAGAUAAUGUUUUAUUAAAAAUUAACCCAUAUAAUAUUUAGCUUUUUUCAUUUUAUAAAAACUAUUUAAAUGACUAACAACUGAACACUGUUAUAACAACUAUCAAAACAACAAAUUUUACCGAAUAGAUCCUAAGUUUUAAAAUGGAUCAAAUGUAAAAGCUACUAAUUGAGAAUCAGAAAAACUUAAACCAAUAGAAUUGGUUUAAAUGAAAAUCACUCAAGUCAUUUAAGUAAGAAGUCUAAGGCUGUAUUUGACAAAAAGUUUUUUAGGUAACUUUUAGCGUUUUGUCUGGUUAAAAUGUUACUAUUUAAAAAAUUUUUCAGUAACAUAAUGUUUGGAUUAGACUUUAGAAGUUAUGGUAGCGUUUUGUGAAAAUUUAACUCAUGGCGUUUCAUUAAAAAAAAUACAAAAACAGCUAACAGCUAAACGCUACUAAAACAGCUAAUAAAUAACAAAACAGCUAAACGCUACUAAAACAGUUGAUAGAUAACAAAAUAGUUAAUUUUGUCGAACAAACUCUAAGUGCUCCUUCAUGAAGAAAAUUUUCAUUGUGACAAAGUAAUUUAAUUAACAAUAAAGGUUGAAUUUUCUACACCUAAAAUUUUCUACACCUAACUAUGUAUAUUGCUUCUAUGUUUUUGUACGCCUUAAUGAAGGAAAACCUUCUCUUUUUUAUAGGAGAAGGGGACGCGGUGGACGCGCGUUAAUCACGCGUCUACUUCUCUUUUUUUUUUUUCUUUUCAAAUGUGUGUGGGUCUUAUAUGUUGGAGGGACCCUACAACAACAUUAAGGAAGUCUAUUGGCUCGAGAUAAUUUUUCCUGAUUUUUGUAAUUCUAAAUAAAAUUUUGUUGCUGAAAAGAAAAAAUGAUAAAAAAGAUAACCUCACAAAGAUAUGGAGACGGGCGUGGGUUCCCCAAAUUUCAACUCAGCUUCUUCCAACUUCCAUAAAAGCAUGGGAGGUCUCGGUGGCUCCCUAUUAUUUGUGUUAGUACAAUUAUAUACUCCCUCCCCUAAAAAGAUAAAUUUAUCUCAUAUUGAAAAUAUAUAAGAUCACAAAACCUAUAUCAUUUUAUAUAGGUAACCCUAAUUCAUAUAAACUCAAAUUAUUGAAUGAAUUAUUAAUUGAAUUUGAUAAAUUACCCUUAGGGCGCAAAUUUAACAAUUUAUGUAUAUUUUAGCAAAUUUUUUUGUCGAAAUAUUAAAAUGAAUAAUUUUAAUUCAUACAUAAGUUGCGGUCCACUAAUAAAUUCAUAGAGCCAACACAUGAAUAAUUGAAAUCAUUAUAAUAUUUAUAUUUCAACCAAAUUUUAGCUUUGAUAUUACUACUAUUAGAAUAUGUUUAUAAUUUGUGAAACCUAUUUUAAAUUAAUUUUGCUGAAUUUUUGAAGAAUUUAUUUAACUCAUAGAGUCAUUUUGAAUCUGUAUUCAAUCUAAUCGUUACAUUCUCAAUAAAACACCAUCUAUCAUGUUUUACAGCUGCAACAGAGACAAAAUCUAUAUAUACGCCAUGUAACUAUGGUAGAAACAUUCUCAAUAGAGACGCCUACAGAGAGUAACACCGUCGCCAAUAGAAACUUGCGAGAUCUCUACACGUUGAUCCCGAGACAGGUACUCAUUGAGUUCCUGUGUAGCCUUUGUCAGGGGCCUGAAAGGCUCUGGAACUUCAUUUUCUUCUUGAGCUACGAAUCCAAACCACAAGGUGUUAUCGUAAGCAAUUAUUCCUCCAACCUUAACUAAUUUCAACAAUGGCUCAUGGUAAUUUUUGUAAUUGUGCUUAUCAGCAUCGACAAAUGCAAUGUCAAAUUCUUCUCUCUCCUUUUCC